This 407-nucleotide ribosomal RNA is filed under the name uncultured bacterium. RNAcentral describes it as "partial 16S ribosomal RNA". It matches the Rfam family "Bacterial small subunit ribosomal RNA", at positions 30 to 526 of the family's 1533-position model. The record is from RNAcentral.
AUUGAACGCUGGCGGCAGGCCUAACACAUGCAAGUCGAGCGGAGCUGCGGACGGGUGAGUAAUGCCUAGGAAUCUGCCUGGUAUUGGGGGAUAACGUCCGGAAACGGGAGCUAAUAUCGCAUACUAUUUGCUGUGCCUAGGUCGUAUUGGCUAGUUGGUGUGGUAAAGGCUUACCAGGGCGACGAUCCGUAACGGGUCUGAGAGGAUGACCCGUCACACUGGAACGGAGACACGGUCCAGACGCCUACGGGAUGAAGCAGUGGGGAAUAUUCGACAAUGGGCGAAAGCCUGAAGCAGCAAUGCCGCGUGUGUGAAGAAGGUCUUCGGAUUGUAAAACACUUUUAGUAGGGAGGCGGUACCAACAGAAAAAGCACCGGCUAACUACGUGCCAGCAGCCGCGGUAAUAC